CAACCGUAAAUUUGGAGUAUGUCGACCACAGAUGCACGAGUUGCAACACUCGUUACAGAAAUGUCAUCCAGCUGAUCUGUGGUGCUACGAGAUUCCCAUGGACGAGCUGCCAUCCAUCUCUCCAACCAACUCCAACCCCAGUGCGGAUUGUUUGGAUCCAUGACGAACUUAACAACCAAUCAUACUUAUGUGGAGAACAAAAACUGCAAGGAGUUGCUAGAGAUCCAGAGUCGAGAAGUGUACUCAGGAAGCACGUACUAAGGAAUAAAGAAAAUGCAUAGUUUUGUUACCUGAUGAGAGUAAGCAUAAGCCAUAGCCCUUUCUCUUCUUACUGCAGCUUCAUGCUUGUUCAAUAGUUUAGCUUCAAUUUGUGCUUUAGAUUGGGUGCUAUGAUUCCAGUUACCAUCCAUCUGUAGUGCAAGUUGUAAUGAUCGCAGAUUAUUAAAAUGACAAUAGCUCAAAAGAAGAUACUAUUCUUCUCAAACAAAUACUAUUAUUCCACAAUUUUUCGUUUAUCUAAGAUAAAUACACGUUCAAAUGAUAAAUACAUUAACUAACUGCAAGAACCAGCAGUUGGAUGAAUGAUACUCUAACUCUAUACUGUUAAACAAAAAGAAGAAACCAAGAAGACAAGGAAAAAAAUAUCAUGCAUGAUGACAAUUAGACGUUUAGGUUUUGACCUUUAAAUCUGUGUUGUAUGGUAUAUGUAUGGAUGCAAGUAUGCGUAUGCAUAUAGACCACACUCAAGUAGCAACUUCAAAUUUAUACUCCCAGAGCCAUAGACUUGUUUUCACAAGCGCUACAGACAUAGCAGGUUAUAUUCAAAAGAAAAGUUCGAACAAAGAGAACUUACAGUAAAUUUUAACUUCUCGAGAUCUUUCUCACGUUUGUUACGAAGUUGCCGGAGAAGAGCAUGAUUUUCUUCCGACAUUCUUAUUCUCCUUACACGAAUCUCCGACUGUAAAUGAGUAAGGGUCUGCAUGCAUUUUAAAGUAGAGGCCACUUGCCGUUUGACAGACUGCCCUUGUACCAACGUCUUCAAUCUCAUCAACGCUUUGAGUGCUCUUAGUGCUCUCCUUGCCUGUUGAGAAAUGAAAAGCUGAUGCUUCAUCAAAGUUGAAAGCUAAUGGAUUCCCGAAGAACUUAUUAUGAAGAAACAAUAGACAACUACUGCAGAAGAUAAAUGGGACGACCAAUCCAUAUGAUACUCAAAGAUAAAACUUGGUUAUGAAUUCUAUAAAUUCUUGAAAUAUUGAUAGGUGGAAAAUGGAAACAGUUUUAAAAUAUAACAUACAAACUUAACUUAAUGUUUUUGUCAUUAACAACAGGUACUGACGAUGCUUCUAAUCGCCCAAAACUCCUAUACUGAAUGAGAAAUGGAAUAUUAUGAGAAGUACCGUA
This is a long non-coding RNA of Cucumis sativus (cucumber), 1401 nucleotides long. RefSeq lists it as uncharacterized. The transcript is spliced from 3 exons. The record is from RefSeq and is a predicted model, not a curated record. NCBI's taxonomy places the organism in Eukaryota, Viridiplantae, Streptophyta, Magnoliopsida, Cucurbitales, Cucurbitaceae.